RNAcentral lists this ribosomal RNA (1517 nucleotides) under wastewater metagenome. RNAcentral describes it as "bacterial LSU rRNA". It matches the Rfam family "Bacterial large subunit ribosomal RNA", at positions 496 to 1999 of the family's 2925-position model. The record is from RNAcentral.
CAGUACCGUGAGGGAAAGGUGAAAAGCACCCCGGGAGGGGAGUGAAACAGUACCUGAAACCGUGCGCCCACGAGCAGUCGGAGCACCCUUGUGGUGUGACGGCGUGCCUUUUGUAGAAUGAGCCAGCGAGUCGCUGGCGCGGGGCGAGGUUAACCGAAAGGGAGCCGGAGCGAAAGCGAGCCUUAACAGGGCGACUUGAGUCCCGCGCCGCGGACGCGAAGCCGGGUGAGCUAUCCGUGGGCAGGCUGAAGCGGGGGUAAGACCCCGUGGAGGGCCGAACGCACGUCGGUUGAAAACGGCGGCGAUGACCUGCGGAUAGGGGUGAAAGGCCAAUCAAACCCGGAGAUAUCUCGUUCUCCCCGAAAUAGCUUUAGGGCUAGCGUCGCGCGUUCACCGCCGGAGGUAGAGCACCGGAUGGACGAGGGGGCUUCGCCGCCUACCGAAUCCAACCGAACUCCGAAUGCCGGCGGCCCAGAGCGCGGCAGUCAGAGCAUGUGGGCUAAGCUGUGUGCUCGAGAGGGAAACAGCCCGGACCGCCCGCUAAGGUCCCCAAGUUCCAGCCGAGUGGCAAAGGAUGUGCGUCCGCCCAGACAACCAGGAUGUUGGCUUAGAAGCAGCCAUGCAUUCAAAGAGUGCGUAACAGCUCACUGGUCGAGUGGACAUGCGCCGACAAUACACGGGGCUAAGCUGGACACCGAAGCGGCGGGAUUUUGAUUUUCAGAAUCGGUAGGGGAGCUUCCCAUGGGCGGUGAAGCCGCCGGGCGACCGGCGGUGGAGCGCAUGGGAGUGAGAAUGCUGGCAUGAGUAGCGAGAGACGAGAGAGUAACUCGUCCGCCGUGAACCCGAGGUUUCCUGGGCAAGGCUAAUCCUCCCAGGGUCAGUCGGGGGCUAAGGCGAGGCCGGGAGGCGUAGCCGACGCGCAGCAGGCAGACAUUCCUGCACCGCGCACGCGGCGCUACGACCGACGGGGCGACGGAUGGGGGUGGCUCGGCGGGGUUCUGGACGUCCCCGUGAUGGAGCGCGGCCCGCGGACCAGGGAAAUCCGGUCCGCACGAGGGCGAGGCUCCGGACGAAGCGAUCAAGCGAAGCGAGUGAGCCCGAGGUCCCUAGAAAAACCCCUAGGCAGGCGCGUGCGCGCCCGUACCGCAAACCGACACAGGUGGGUGGGUAGAACAUACCGAGGCGAUCGGGUCAACCAUGGUCAAGGAACUCGGCACAAUGGCCCCGUAACUUCGGGAGAAGGGGUGCCCGCGCGUACGUGAACGGACUUGCUCCGGGAGCGGAGGCGGGCCGCAGUGGAGAGGCCCAAGCGACUGUUUACCAAAAACACAGGACUCUGCAGAAGCCGCAAGGCGACGUAUAGGGUCUGACGCCUGCCCGGUGCCGGAAGGUCACGCGGAGGAGUUAGCGCAUCGCGCGAAGCCCCGAAGCCAAGCCCCGGUAAACGGCGGCCGUAACUAUAACGGUCCUAAGGUAGCGAAAUUCCUUGUCGGGUAAGUUCCGACCUGCACGAAAGG